Non-coding RNA from Pelobates cultripes (western spadefoot toad), 235 nucleotides. The record is from the annotation of a GenBank genome assembly. Lineage: Eukaryota; Metazoa; Chordata; Amphibia; Anura; Pelobatidae.
UGACAAACAAUAGUGGGAUAGUGCCCACAAUUAGUGCGAUGAUCACUAGAAGAAACUAGUGGAUUCAUUUCAAAAGCAAAAUCCAUUAUUUUAUGUUAGGUGGUUUAGUGAAUCUUCAUAAGUGAAACAGCUGGUUUAAUAUAGAGUUCUGCAGGCUCUUUGUUGCAUGUAGGUGUAUCAAUCUCUCUAUGCGCUGCACUUAGAAUCAUGAGUAAUCCCAACAGUCCAGAUCUGU